RNAcentral lists this ribosomal RNA (492 nucleotides) under uncultured bacterium. RNAcentral's name for it is "partial 16S ribosomal RNA". It matches the Rfam family "Bacterial small subunit ribosomal RNA", at positions 29 to 507 of the family's 1533-position model. The record is from RNAcentral.
AGUGAACGCUGGCGGUAGGCCUAACACAUGCAAGUCGAACGGCAGCACAGUAAGAGCUUGCUCUUACGGUUGGCGAGUGGCGGACGGGUGAGGAAUACAUCGGAAUCUACUUUUUCGUGGGGGAUAACGUAGGGAAACUUACGCUAAUACCGCAUACGACCUACGGGUGAAAGCAGGGGAUCUUCGGACCUUGCGCGAUUGAAUGAGCCGAUGUCGGAUUAGCUAGUUGGCGGGGUAAAGGCCCACCAAGGCGACGAUCCGUAGCUGGUCUGAGAGGAUGAUCAGCCACACUGGAACUGAGACACGGUCCAGACUCCUACGGGAGGCAGCAGUGGGGAAUAUUGGACAAUGGGCGCAAGCCUGAUCCAGCCAUACCGCGUGGGUGAAGAAGGCCUUCGGGUUGUAAAGCCCUUUUGUUGGGAAAGAAAAGCAGCAGGUUAAUACCCCGCUGUUCUGACGGUACCCAAAGAGUAAGCACCGGCUAACUUCGUG